GUUGCGUUUUGCUCCUCCCCUGUCGACGGGGCAGGGCCAGCCCAAUGCGUGCUAGGAGUCCGGAGAGUUCGUUUCCAUGGUGACGGGUUCCGCUAAGGUUUUCCUGGGGUGAAGAGGCAGGGCGUUGAAAUAGUCGCCAUGGCAACAGCAGCAGAGGACAGUAUCCUUGCUGAGUGCUCCUACCUAGAGUUAAGAGCUGUCCAAAAGGCAAAAUAUGGCUCUGAGAAGACAAGACUCCUUGGCACCUGGCCCUCAGGCCCUGGCAGGGCCUGUGUUUGCUGAACUGCAAAAAGGCUAUGAGGACAGAGACUUGAUGACAUGGCAAGGUGGGUGUGCAGGGUUUGCUGCAUAAGACAUGGGGAGCAGGCCCUUCCUUACUCCUCACGAGGAAAACAAGAGGUGAGCAAGGAAAAUUAGGGGCACUGCUAGUAACAUCAUGCAGGUUGAACCUGGAAACCAAUAGAAGCACUGGGUAGGUGAAAUUGGAUCCUAGAAAGCUCACGAGCCAUAAGCAGGAGGGGGCAACCAUAGGCUCCUGGGGUGGUUGUAUGCAGGAAGAACUGAGGAAGGAGGUGGGAUGGGCCAGGGAGGCUGCACAGUUGUGGUAACAGUAGGCACACCAGGGAAGGGGGAGGUUUGGGGACCCGCUGCCUGAAGAUAGCUCAGGUUAGGGGCUGAAGGCCUGGGAGGACACAGAGAUGGGAAGGGUUAGAUGAGCUGUCUAGGGUUAGGGUUUCCCAAAGCCUCUUUGGGGCCUCUGCUCUCCUCAUUACCUGCCUCUGGCUCCCCGGACACUUGAGAAGUUAUAUAAUUAGCCAGAUAGUAGAAAAAAUACCUUUUUAUUAUUAGGAAUAAUUCAUUCAUGUAAUGCAAGAUGUAUGUUGGAGAAGGUUAAGUAUAGCCACAUGAAUGAGGGGAAACGAGCAAGAGGAACAGUGGUGACAAGGGGGAUGGUCCCCCACUUUCCACAAACUAUAAACAGCAACAUGAACACAGAGAAUCACAAA
Long non-coding RNA from Cercocebus atys (sooty mangabey), 1007 nucleotides. RefSeq lists it as uncharacterized. The transcript has 2 exons. The record is from RefSeq and is a predicted model, not a curated record. NCBI's taxonomy places the organism in Eukaryota, Metazoa, Chordata, Mammalia, Primates, Cercopithecidae.